UCCCGAUUCGUCUAACGGUAGGACGCCCGGCUCUGACCCGGGUAGUCGAGGUUCGAAUCCUUGAUCGGGAG
Molecule: transfer RNA, 71 nt
Filed under: Longispora fulva
Lineage: Bacteria; Bacillati; Actinomycetota; Actinomycetes; Micromonosporales; Micromonosporaceae
Rfam family: tRNA
About the family: Transfer RNA (tRNA) molecules are approximately 80 nucleotides in length. Their secondary structure includes four short double-helical elements and three loops (D, anti-codon, and T loops).
Source: Rfam by way of RNAcentral